This 440-nucleotide ribosomal RNA is filed under the name uncultured bacterium. RNAcentral's name for it is "partial 16S ribosomal RNA". It matches the Rfam family "Bacterial small subunit ribosomal RNA", at positions 338 to 795 of the family's 1533-position model. The record is from RNAcentral.
CCUACGGGAGGCUGCAGUAGGGAAUAUUGCACAAUGGGGGAAACCCUGAAGCAGCAACGCCGCGUGGAGGAUGAAGGCUUUCGGAUUGUAAACUCCUUUUGUUAGAGAAGAUAAUGAAGGUACCUAACGAAUAAGCAACGGCUAACUCAGUUCCAGCAGCCGCGGUAAUACGGAGGGUGCAAGCGUUACUCGGACUCACUGGGCGUAAAGAGCGCGUAGGAGGGAUAGCAAGUCAGAUGUGAAAUCCUAGGGCUUAACCCUAGAACUGCAUUUGAAAAUGUUAUUCUAGAGUAUGGUAGAGGUAGGUGGAAGUCUUGGUGUAGGGGUGAAAUCCGUAGAGAUCAGGAGGAAUACUCAUUGCGAAGGCGGGCUGCUAGAACAUAACUGACGCUGAGGCGCGAAAGCGUGGGGAGCAAACAGGAUUAGAUACCCGAGUAGUC